Molecule: ribosomal RNA, 468 nt
Filed under: uncultured bacterium
Lineage: Bacteria
Description: partial 16S ribosomal RNA
Rfam family: Bacterial small subunit ribosomal RNA
Source: RNAcentral
GACGAACGCUGGCGGCGUGCUUAACACAUGCAAGUCGAACGGAAAGGCCCUGCUUUUGUGGGGUGCUCGAGUGGCGAACGGGUGAGUAACACGUGAGUAACCUGCCCUUGACUUUGGGAUAACUUCAGGAAACUGGGGCUAAUACCGGAUAGGAGCUCCUGCUGCAUGGUGGGGGUUGGAAAGUUUCGGCGGUUGGGGAUGGACUCGCGGCUUAUCAGCUUGUUGGUGGGGUAGUGGCUUACCAAGGCGUUGACGGGUAGCCGGCCUGAGAGGGUGACCGGCCACAUUGGGACUGAGAUACGGCCCAGACGCCUACGGGAGGCAGCAGUGGGGAAUAUUGCACAAUGGGCGGAAGCCUGAUGCAGCAACGCCGCGUGCGGGAUGACGGCCUUCGGGUUGUAAACCGCUUUCGCCUGUGACGAAGCGUGAGUGACGGUAAUGGGUAAAGAAGCACCGGCUAACUACGUG